CCCUUAGAUGUCCUGGGCGGCCCGCGCACUACAAUGGCGUGUGCAGCGAGUGCCGAAGUAGAGUUUUCCGAGGUAUUCUUGCAAUGCUCGUUUUGAUGGGGAUAGACCCUUGCAACUGUUGGUUUUGAACGAGGAAUUCCUUGUAAGCAUGGUUUAUCAUCCGACGCUGAAUGCGUCCCUGCCCUUUGUACACACCGCCCGUCGCUCCUACCGAUGAGUCGUCCGGUGAAGUUCGUAGACCUCGUGAUCGCGGAUCACUGGGGGAAGCAAAAUGAACCUCGCGGUUUAGAGGAAGGAGAAGUCGUAACA
RNAcentral lists this ribosomal RNA (309 nucleotides) under uncultured eukaryote. RNAcentral describes it as "partial 18S ribosomal RNA". It matches the Rfam family "Eukaryotic small subunit ribosomal RNA", at positions 1470 to 1796 of the family's 1831-position model. The record is from RNAcentral.